CAAUGUCCCCUAGUGUCCUAGUGACAAGGGGACACUGGGAUACAUGGGGACACAGACAUGCCCACUUUUUGUGUAUGUUCGCCCCUUUCGGCAGUUCUGGUUAUGUGAUUUGUGUCAGUGGCCCACCCUUUUACCCCAUCCAUAGACUUCCUGCUUUACUGGACACUGCUGUUAGGGGGUAUGGGUUUACGUGAAAGAUGAAAGCGUGAUAUUAUCAUAGGGUAUGUGUUUUCUCAUAGCUGAAUCCUAUGAGUUUCCCUCAAGCACCAUCCCCAUCACAUACAUGACGCUUAGGAGGUAGG
This is a non-coding RNA of Pelobates cultripes (western spadefoot toad), 302 nucleotides long. Lineage: Eukaryota; Metazoa; Chordata; Amphibia; Anura; Pelobatidae. The record is from the annotation of a GenBank genome assembly.